RNAcentral lists this long non-coding RNA (203 nucleotides) under Homo sapiens (human). RNAcentral describes it as "non-protein coding lnc-BORA-21:1". Lineage: Eukaryota; Metazoa; Chordata; Mammalia; Primates; Hominidae. The record is from RNAcentral.
AAUAUGAUUUUAGUCAGCAAGUGAAUACCACCCACAGAAAUAUACUGUAGAUAUAUUUUCCCAAAUCUUAACUAUUAGAUCAAUUUUCUAACUUUUCAAACUUUGUAUCACUUUUACAAGAUUGGUCCCUAAUAUACUUUCAUUAGGGAACGUCUUUGGAAUUGACAUGGACAAAUACAAGUCAAAAGAAAAAGUGUAUGUGA